AUUGAACGCUGGCGGCAGGCCUAACACAUGCAAGUCGAACGGUAACAGGAAGAAGCUUGCUUCUUUGCUGACGAGUGGCGGACGGGUGAGUAAUGUCUGGGAAACUGCCUGAUGGAGGGGGAUAACUACUGGAAACGGUAGCUAAUACCGCAUAACGUCGCAAGACCAAAGAGGGGGACUUCGGGCCCCCUGCCAUUGGAAGGUCCCAGAUGGGAUUAGCUAGUAGGUGGGGUAACGGCUCACCUAGGCGACGAUCCCUAGCUGGUCUGAGAGGAUGACCAGCCACACUGGAACUGAGACACGGUCCAGACUCCUACGGGAGGCAGCAGUGGGGAAUAUUGCACAAUGGGCGCAAGCCUGAUGCAGCCAUGCCGCGUGUAUGAAGAAGGCCUUCGGGUUGUAAAGUACUUUCAGCGGGGAGGAAGGGAGUAAAGUUAAUACCUUUGCUCAUUGACGUUACCCGCAGAAGAAGCACCGGCUAACUCCGUG
RNAcentral lists this ribosomal RNA (489 nucleotides) under uncultured bacterium. RNAcentral's name for it is "partial 16S ribosomal RNA". It matches the Rfam family "Bacterial small subunit ribosomal RNA", at positions 30 to 507 of the family's 1533-position model. The record is from RNAcentral.